Molecule: RNA transcript, 2159 nt
Organism: Seriola dumerili (greater amberjack)
Lineage: Eukaryota; Metazoa; Chordata; Actinopteri; Carangiformes; Carangidae
Gene: pde6d
Gene name: phosphodiesterase 6D
Exons: 6
Source: RefSeq, a predicted model, not a curated record
CUGAUUACAUUAUCGGAUCAGGUUUAACCUGCGGUCCAACAAUAUAGGGAGAAGUUAUAGUUUAUGCUAUAUUCCGGCCAACAUUAGUCGCGGUGUAGUUAGCUAACUAGUUAACCUAACAUCAACAGCAGCUUUUUUUUUAUCUUAGUAGAUCCUGGGUUUUCUGUGAGGACCGAAAACAGACGAUUUGUGAAAUGUCUUCAGACGAAGACAGGGCCAAGGAAAUUUUGAAGGGCUUCAAACUAAACUGGAUGAAUCUUCGAGAUGCAGAAACGGGAAAAGUGCUGUGGCAGGGAACUGAGGACCUCUCUGUACCGGGAGUAGAACAUGAAGCUCGCGUCCCGAAGAAGAUCCUGAAGUGUAAAGCAGUGUCCAGAGAACUGAACUUCUCCUCUUCGGAGAAACUGGAGAAAUUCAGGCUGGAGCAGAAAGUUUUCUUCAAGGGACAGUGUCUAGAAGAAUGGUUCUUUGAGUUUGGUUUCGUCAUCCCCAACUCCACCAACACAUGGCAGUCUCUGAUAGAAGCAGCUCCAGAGUCCCAGAUGAUGCCAGCCAACGUUUUAACUGGUAAUGUGAUCAUAGAGACCAAGUUCUACGACGACGACCUCCAUGUCAGCACCUCCAGGGUACGACUCUUCUACGUCUGACCUCUGACCCACGGCUCUACCUUCCAAAAUGCUGACAUCCUGCCAAGGUCUAUAAAUAACAGAGGUUGCAUUUACUCAGGAACAGAACAUUAGACGUGUAACCUUCUGUGAUCUGAUCUUCUUCUGUCUGUCUGAACAUGGAAACACCGCUCCCCACGUUUCGUCCAUUUAGACAGGAGCUGCACAUCCGUCUCGAGGGAAGACGCAGCUUAGUGUCUCUCCUGAGCUACGGUCAAGAAGUUUUCACCGUAAAACAGUCGAUAACAUUUCCUCCAGCUGUGUCCCAUUCCAGAGGCUGCCUCCACUUCCUGAUCAGACUGUCCCAGUGAAAUGAGUCCGAAAAUUGUUCUAUUACCAGAGGAAUGGAAGUUAUGUGGAUUUAUUUGGACAUAUCAACUCUUGAAAUUUCCACUUUUAUGAAUUGAUGAGGGCUUCCUGAAUGCACUGUUAAUGGUGGUCUCUGUGAGGCCAAGCUGGUGGAGCUGCUGAUGUAUCUUUAGUCGUCUGAAGGGCACACCUUUGCUGGCAGCCUCUGAAGUCGGACACGGCUUCUACCAACCAAACCUGUCCUGUUUUCUGAGCGCACAGAGUAGAGUAGAACAGGGGUUUUCACUGUAGAGGACCGCCUGUCCACCAAGACAGCCUCUGGUUCAACUGGACUGCUUCUUGUCUGUAUUGUUUGAAAUGAAAACCUGCACGCUGUUGCCAUGAUGACACGAGCUCGACCAGGAAGUGUCUGAGGGACGUUCAUCAGCAAACACAAGGGGGUUGUAGUACAUACAUGUAUGUGCUUGUACUUGACUUUCAGAGGUGUACUUACAUAAAACAUUCAACGCUCAACUAAAUCCUCAUCGGGUGUUGACCGAGACAUGCAUCAUUUCUUCUCAGUAGCUCACCUGUCAAUAAUUUUAUCCCAACUUGACCCAGAUGUUAACAGCCGCUUUAGGUGUUUAACACAGCUCUGCUCGGUACAUCCUGGCUAUAGAUUUUUAACUUUGACUUCCCGUCCAAUUCACUGCAUUUAUGUCAUUGUUUGUUUUUUUCCUUAGCUGCUAACUGAGCUGUGUAAAAUAGAAUUGUUUUAAUAUGAGAGGAGUAGUGGAUUAAAGUCAUCCAAUGUUGUAAUAACAUAAUGUGCGUCUGCUCUUUAUUGUAUUGCUUUCAAAUAAGUUUACCUGUACCUUAUUUGAAAGCAUGUGUGGGUUUAUUAUGUUAAUGUUAACACAGUGACAGAAAUGCAUUGACACCUGACACUUUGGAAACACAAGGCGGCUGCUGUGUGAAAUUAGUUUAGCUAAACCGCCACCCUCAGGAACUUAAAGGAAGUGGCAGUGUGAUUGCACUGUUUAAAGAAAAAAUCUGUUUAGGUUCGGCUGAAUGAUUUGUAUCGGUUAAAAUCACCAGUCAAAUAAGUAUCCAAACGCAAAUGUAACAUUUGUACAUAUAUUGAAUUUGCAUAUAUGAAAUAUAUGUACAUACAAAAUUAAAACACAUGUAAAAAUGAUAUAUAGA